RNAcentral lists this ribosomal RNA (310 nucleotides) under uncultured bacterium. RNAcentral describes it as "bacterial SSU rRNA". It matches the Rfam family "Bacterial small subunit ribosomal RNA", at positions 794 to 1237 of the family's 1533-position model. The record is from RNAcentral.
UCCACGCCCUAAACGAUGAACACUAGUCGUCGGGAUGCUAGUCAUCUCGGUGAUGCACUUAACAGAUUAAGUGUUCCGCCUGGGGAGUACGGUCGCAAGAUUAAAACUCAAAGGAAUAGACGGGGACCCGCACAAGUGGUGGAGCAUGUUGGGUUAAGUCCCACAACGAGCGCAACCCUCGUCCUUAGUUGCCAGCAGGUUAAGCUGGGCACUUUAAGGAGACUGCCUUCGUAAGGAGGAGGAAGGUGAGGACGACGUCAAGUCAUCAUGGCCCUUAUGGCUAGGGCUACACACGUGCUACAAUGGGGCG